RNAcentral lists this ribosomal RNA (866 nucleotides) under uncultured archaeon. RNAcentral describes it as "bacterial SSU rRNA". It matches the Rfam family "Archaeal small subunit ribosomal RNA", at positions 57 to 928 of the family's 1478-position model. The record is from RNAcentral.
GUCGAGAGGGUUCGGCCCUCGGCAGACUGCUCAGUAACACGUGGAUAAUCUACCCUUAGGUGGAGGAUACUCUCGGGAAACUGAGAAUAAUACUCCAUAGGUCUAGGAUGCUGGAAUGCACCUAGGUUGAAAGUUCCGGCGCCUAAGGAUGAGUCUGCGGACUAUCAGGUAGUAGUCAGGGUAAAGACCUGACUAGCCUACGACGGAUACGGGUUGUGAGAGCAAUAGCCCGGAGACGAUAUCUGAGACACGAUAUCGGGCCCUACGGGGCGCAGCAGGCGCGAAAUCUUCACAAUGUGCGAAAGCACGAUGAGGGGAUCCCAAGUGUUGGUUCGUAAGAGCCAUCUGUUUCUUUGUCUAAAAAACAGAGAGAGUAGGAGCUGGGUAAGACGGGUGCCAGCCGCCGCGGUAAUACCUGCAGCUCAAGUGGUGGCCGCUAUUAUUGGGCCUAAAACGUCCGUAGCCGGUUUAGUAAAUGCCUGGGUAAAUUGUGUAGCUCAACUAUACGAAUACCGGGUAGACUGCUAAACUUGGAACCGGGAGAGGCUAGAGGUACUCCUAGGGUAGAGGUGAAAUUCUGUAAUCCUAGGGGGACCACCAGUGGCGAAGGCGUCUAGCCAGAACGGGUUUGACGGUGAGGGACGAAGCCCUGGGGCGCAAACCGGAUUAGAUACCCGGGUAGUCCAGGGUGUAAACGCUGCUCGCUUGAUGUUAGUCGGGCUCCGAGCCCAACUAGUGUCGGAGAGAAGUUGUUAAGCAAGCUGCCUGGGGAGUACGGUCGCAAGGCUGAAACUUAAAGGAAUUGGCGGGGGAGCACAGCAACGGGUGGAGCGUGCGGUUUAAUUGGAUUCAACGCCGGGAAGGGC